Long non-coding RNA from Equus quagga, 1109 nucleotides. RefSeq lists it as uncharacterized. The transcript is spliced from 3 exons. The record is from RefSeq and is a predicted model, not a curated record. NCBI's taxonomy places the organism in Eukaryota, Metazoa, Chordata, Mammalia, Perissodactyla, Equidae.
UGGCAGGGACACCGUCCUGCCUGCUCCCCGUCUGCCCCAGGGCUUGUGGGGGAGCCCCCCCCCCCCCGGGUGCAAAGGCCCAGGCUGCUCUGGGAGCUUCCCGCCUCCACGGAGAGACCAGCCCCAGGAAGUGCUAGGAGCGAGUCACAUAUUAUCCUGACGAUAGGCCAGGCCCUGUGUCAGCCUCAGGCGCACAGGCGAGGAGGCAGGCUGCCUGCCUCAUGUGCAGCAUCGCCUCCAGCUCCAGCAGUGCCAGGGACGCGCGGAGAAACCCACUCACCCAAGACUCACAGCUGACAGGAACCGAAACACAGAGAGGGAAGCCACUCGUCCAAGGUCACCCAGCUGGUGUGUGUGCCGCUGAGAUUUUCCACCAGGUGGCUCAGAGUCCAGCUCCUGACCACAAUACCCAGAAGCCUCCAGACUUACAGUUAGAAUGCAGCUAAGAGGCGCCAAUACAAUGUGAAGGCCGGCCGAGGACUGCAGGCCGUGUCCUCUGGAGUUCGCUAGGGAGCCCUACAAGAAGCCCAUUGACCCCCUGGCCCGGAGGAGUCCUCCUCCUUGUGGUCCUUCAGGCUGCUCGUCACUUACUCAAGCGAACCGGAGAUGGGCACCCGAGGCAGAUGCUCCAGGAGGCACUGGAGCCCGGCAUCACCCAGCUGGUUUGCUGAGAGGCUGCGAGAGGUCAGAGGAGGUUGGUGGCGGUCAGAUGCGCCCCCUCACCCGGGGCCUUCUCUUCAGUUACCACCGCUGGUACUCUACCCACACAGCACUGUCGUCAGCACCUUCGCCAUCACCUCCACCCCUGUGCACUACAGCCCCAACAUCGGCACCAUCCCAUCAUUCUACCAACAUCACCACCUCCAUCAGCACUAGAAUGAGCACCGGCGGCCCCAGCACCGCACGGCAGCUCCCCGGGCCCACAUCAUCCCCCCACCAGCACCACAGUUAACCAGACCUCAUCUUCCCCUUCAGUAUCUGCUGACUACUCCCCGGGGUCGUGUGCUUUCAGGAGUUAGGGAAAAAACGAUUAGCUGUUACGAUGCCCUUGGCCCGCAUCAGUUGGGAGCUGUAAUUUCUGAACAAGAGUAAAUUCAGGAAAAAGAAAA